UGUACUACAAGGCAUUGGAUUAUCAUG
This 27-nucleotide non-coding RNA is filed under the name Mus musculus (house mouse). The record is from RNAcentral. Lineage: Eukaryota; Metazoa; Chordata; Mammalia; Rodentia; Muridae.